UCCUCCCUCAUCUCUUCUUGUAUUGUGAAACACAGGAAGUGUCUGAUUUCACACAGCACUGUUCAAACAGUCUGUUAAUGUGUCAGUAUGGGCUCCAGUGCACUGUCUCUCACACUCUUGCUGAUAUCCCUCAUCAGCUCUGGACUCACUCAAGAUUCACCCAGAUCUACUCUGACUGUGACUCCAG
Carassius auratus (goldfish) is the source of this 187-nucleotide long non-coding RNA. RefSeq lists it as uncharacterized. The record is from RefSeq and is a predicted model, not a curated record. The transcript is spliced from 3 exons. NCBI's taxonomy places the organism in Eukaryota, Metazoa, Chordata, Actinopteri, Cypriniformes, Cyprinidae.